GACGACGACGGUAGUUAUUUGGUAGCCGCGUUGUAAUAAGGUCGCGUCGGACGAGUUGCAAAAAAAAAAACAACAACAACACAAUUCAACGGAAAAAACUGCCCACGGACGCAUCGGUGGUCGUGUAAACGUCGUAAAUAUCACCGAAACUGGCGCGAGCCCGCGCGCGUGUACGACUGGCGUAAUAUUAUUCCGUAUACAUAAAUGAGUCGUCCAAAAACCGAAAAAAAAGACAACAAAAAAACACGUACACACACAAACACACACGCACAAUUAUAAUUUAAUAAUUUAUUCGGGUAUUAAAUUUCCGACCCCGUCUUACGAUUCGGUCGCGGUAUAAGGUACAGCACGUGUAGGUAGAUGCUACGAACCAAAGCCGGACGUCGAAAAAAGUCCGGUAAACGAAAUCUGAC
Cinara cedri is the source of this 413-nucleotide non-coding RNA. The record is from the annotation of a GenBank genome assembly. Lineage: Eukaryota; Metazoa; Arthropoda; Insecta; Hemiptera; Aphididae.